RNAcentral lists this ribosomal RNA (1446 nucleotides) under uncultured bacterium. RNAcentral describes it as "bacterial SSU rRNA". It matches the Rfam family "Bacterial small subunit ribosomal RNA". The record is from RNAcentral.
AGAGUUUGAUCCUGGCUCAGGAUGAACGCUGGCGGCGUGCUUAACACAUGCAAGUCGAACGAACCUUCGGGUUAGUGGCGGACGGGUGAGUAACGCGUGAGAAUCUGCCCUCAGGAGGGGGAUAACGGUUGGAAACGACCGCUAAUACCCCAUAUGCCGAGAGGUGAAAUGAAUUUCGCCUGAGGAUGAGCUCGCGUCUGAUUAGUUAGUUGGUGGGGUAAUGGCCUACCAAGACAUCGAUCAGUAGCUGGUCUGAGAGGAUGAUCAGCCACACUGGGACUGAGACACGGCCCAGACUCCUACGGGAGGCAGCAGUGGGGAAUUUUCCGCAAUGGGCGAAAGCCUGACGGAGCAACGCCGCGUGAGGGAUGAAGGCCUCUGGGCUGUAAACCUCUUUUAUCAAGGAAGAAGAUCUGACUGUACUUGAUGAAUAAGCCACGGCUAAUUCCGUGCCAGCAGCCGCGGUAAUACGGGAGUGGCAAGCGUUAUCCGGAAUUAUUGGGCGUAAAGCGUCCGCAGGCGGUCUGUCAAGUCUGCUGUUAAAGCGUGGAGCUUAACUCCAUUUCGGCAGUGGAAACUGACAGACUAGAGUGUGGUAGGGGCAGAGGGAAUUCCCGGUGUAGCGGUGAAAUGCGUAGAUAUCGGGAAGAGCACCAGUGGCGAAGGCGCUCUGCUGGGCCAUAACUGACGCUCAUGGACGAAAGCCAGGGGAGCGAAAGGGAUUAGAUACCCCUGUAGUCCUGGCCGUAAACGAUGAACACUAGGUGUCGGGGGAAUCGACCCCCUCGGUGUCGUAGCCAACGCGUUAAGUGUUCCGCCUGGGGAGUACGCACGCAAGUGUGAAACUCAAAGGAAUUGACGGGGGCCCGCACAAGCGGUGGAGUAUGUGGUUUAAUUCGAUGCAACGCGAAGAACCUUACCAGGGUUUGACAUCCUGCGAAUCUCUUGGAAACGAGAGAGUGCCUUCGGGAACGCAGUGACAGGUGGUGCAUGGCUGUCGUUAGCUCGUGUCGUGAGAUGUUGGGUUAAGUCCCGCAACGAGCGCAACCCACGUCGUUAGUUGCCAGCAUUUAGUUGGGCACUCUAGCGAGACCGCCGGUGAUAAACCGGAGGAAGGUGUGGAUGACGUCAAGUCAUCAUGCCCCUUACAUCCUGGGCUACACACGUACUACAAUGCUACGGACAAAGGGCAGCAAACUCGCGAGAGCUAGCAAAUCCCAUAAACCGUGGCUCAGUUCAGAUCGUAGGCUGCAACUCGCCUACGUGAAGGAGGAAUCGCUAGUAAUCGCAGGUCAGCAUACUGCGGUGAAUACGUUCCCGGGCCUUGUACACACCGCCCGUCACACCAUGGAAGUUGGCCACGCCCGAAGCCGUUACUCCAACCCUUGUGGAGGAGGACGUCGAAGGUGGGGCUGAUGACUGGGGUGAAGUCGUAACAAGGUAACC